Molecule: non-coding RNA, 316 nt
Organism: Pelobates cultripes (western spadefoot toad)
Lineage: Eukaryota; Metazoa; Chordata; Amphibia; Anura; Pelobatidae
Source: the annotation of a GenBank genome assembly
CACAGGGGGUGGAGUGUGUAGGGGAUGUCCUGAUGUGUGUAAGGAAUGCAUUGUGUGAAUCUGUGUUUGUAUGUGUAAGGGCUGCGAGGUGUGUUUGUGUAUGUAUGGGAUGCAUUGAGUAUGUGUAAAGGGUGCAUUGAGUGUGUGUAAUGAAUGCAUUGUGUGUUUCUGUGUGUGUAAGGGAUGCAUUGCUUGUGUAUGUGUGUCUGUGUGUGUAAUGCAUUGUGUGUUUUUCUGUGUGCAAGGGGUGCAUUGUGUGUGAUUGUGUGUGUGUGAUGGAAGUCAAUCUCCUCCCCCCCGUCAAUUUCCUCCUCCC